AGGGACCCCAACUGUUUCUUUGGACCUGGGAGAAGAAGGAGACAGGUGUAAUUUUGAAUCAUCUUGAAUCCAUCCAUCAAAUAAAAGACCUUGAGGAUCUUCUAGCUAUGGUGAUAGAAUAACUCGAGUCUUCCUGGUGGACAGCCAGACUGGAGAAUAGAUCACUACCCUUCUCUGACAACUUAAGAUGUCAUCUGGACUCCUGUUUCUAGUUCAUCAAGGAUUCUUCAUGAGAAACUGAUCUUGUUCCCUGCUGUUCUUAACCUUAGGAAACUUAGGGUUAUGCAACUUAUUCAUCAAUACCCAUGUUUGAUGUGUUUGAUGGAGUUGCUGAAGGCUUCACCCAUAGAUCUUCUCUACCCUCAGUCCAAAUGGCAACCUGAGACCUUGAAGAGGCUCUUGGCUCCUUCCUCAGCAGUUUCUAAAUUCCAGGAUAUUUCUGGCAGUCCUUCCACGUGUUUCUCACUUAUCUAAUGAAUGCUGGAAAGAGUCAUUUGAUCCCUAUAAAGAACUUGGGCUUUUGGAGAAAGGUGAACAGGAUAUCUUAGUGGCUUGAAGAUGAAGGGUUUCCUCAUCAUCGGCUCUCUUCCAGUCUGGGUUUUGAGGUGGAGGAGUUAAAGCCUGGAAUUUCCCAGCAACGUCAUUGAAUAACAAAGGAGAAAUUCUUUUCUUUUUCUGUCUUCCUCCAUCCCUUCUUGCUUCCUUUUUGCUACUCCUUACCAUCCUUUUUUGUUUACCUUUCCAGUUAUUCUUUCUCUCCUUUCACAAGGCAACAGCUCACUCACCACAGUGGAAGAAGCCUCAUUGGGAAAAAAAGUAGGAUGAAGACCAUUCUGCUGCUUCCUGCUGGGCCCACCCCCCACUUUUAAACCUCGGACAAGGAGUAUUUUG
This 891-nucleotide long non-coding RNA is filed under the name Monodelphis domestica (gray short-tailed opossum). RNAcentral describes it as "lncRNA (ENSMODG00000049703.1)". The record is from RNAcentral. Lineage: Eukaryota; Metazoa; Chordata; Mammalia; Didelphimorphia; Didelphidae.